AGUGCUGAAAGCAUCUAAGCACGAAACUUGCCCCGAGAUGAGUUCUCCCUGACUCCUUGAGAGUCCUGAAGGAACGUUGAAGACGACGACGUUGAUAGGCCGGGUGUGUAAGCGCAGCGAUGCGUUGAGCUAACCGGUACUAAUGAGCCGUGAGGCUUAACCUUACAACGCCGAAGGUGUUU
RNAcentral lists this ribosomal RNA (182 nucleotides) under Escherichia coli O118:H16 str. 2009C-4446. Its description in RNAcentral is "partial 23S ribosomal RNA". It matches the Rfam family "Bacterial large subunit ribosomal RNA", at positions 2767 to 2925 of the family's 2925-position model. Lineage: Bacteria; Pseudomonadati; Pseudomonadota; Gammaproteobacteria; Enterobacterales; Enterobacteriaceae. The record is from RNAcentral.